This 242-nucleotide unclassified non-coding RNA is filed under the name plant metagenome. RNAcentral describes it as "partial contains small subunit ribosomal RNA, internal transcribed spacer 1, and 5.8S ribosomal RNA". The record is from RNAcentral.
UCUCCGUUGGUGAACCAGCGGAGGGAUCAUCACAGAGUUUUCACAACCCCCAACCCUUACGAACCGCACCCAUUCUGUUCUCGUUGCUUCCGGCGGCGCGGACGGGGGGGCCCGAAACGGCCUCCCCGCCCCGCCCGGCGGGGGCGGCGCGCCCUACGAACCUUUAUAUCUCAACCACCAGAAACCGUCUGAGAAAACAAACAAAAUAAUCAAAACUUUCAACAACGGAUCUCUUGGCUCUG